GAUGAACGCUGGCGGCGUGCCUAAUACAUGCAAGUCGAGCGAACAGACGAGGAUCUUGCUCCUCUGACGUUAGCGGCGGACGGGUGAGUAACACGUGGAUAACCUACCUAUAAGACUGGGAUAACUUCGGGAAACCGGAGCUAAUACCGGAUAAUAUAUUGAACCGCAUGGUUCAAUAGUGAAAGACGGUUUUGCUGUCAAUUAUAGAUGGAUCCGCGCCGCAUUAGCUAGUUGGUAAGGUAACGGCUUACCAAGGCAACGAUGCGUAGCCGACCUGAGAGGGUGAUCGGCCACACUGGAACUGAGACACGGUCCAGGCUCCUACGGGAGGCAGCCGUAGGGAAUCUUCCGCAAUGGGCGAAAGCCUGACGGAGCAACGCCGCGUGAGUGAUGAAGGUCUUCGGAUCGUAAAACUCUGUUAUUAGGGAAGAACAAAUGUGUAAGUAACUAUGCACGUCUUGACGGUACCUACUCAGAAAGCCACGGCUAACUACGUG
RNAcentral lists this ribosomal RNA (497 nucleotides) under uncultured bacterium. RNAcentral describes it as "partial 16S ribosomal RNA". It matches the Rfam family "Bacterial small subunit ribosomal RNA", at positions 28 to 507 of the family's 1533-position model. The record is from RNAcentral.